GAUGAACGCUAGCUACAGGCUUAACACAUGCAAGUCGAGGGGAAACGGCAUCGAAAGCUUGCUUUUGAUGGGCGUCGACCGGCGCACGGGUGAGUAACGCGUAUCCAACCUGCCCAUCACUUGGGAAUAACCUUGCGAAAGUAAGACUAAUGCCCAAUGACAUCCCACGAAGGCAUCCGAAUGGGAUUAAAGAUUUAUCGGUGAUGGAUGGGGAUGCGUCUGAUUAGCUUGUUGGCGGGGUGACGGCCCACCAAGGCAACGAUCAGUAGGGGUUCUGAGAGGAAGGUCCCCCACAUUGGAACUGAGACACAGUCCAAACUCCUACGGGAGGCAGCAGUGAGGAAUAUUGGUCAAUGGGCGAGAGCCUGAACCAGCCAAGUAGCGUGCAGGAGGACGGCCCUAUGGGUUGUAAACUGCUUUUAUAAGGGAAUAAAGUGGGUCACGUGUGACUUUUUGCAUGUACCUUAUGAAUAAGGACCGGCUAAUUCCGUG
RNAcentral lists this ribosomal RNA (492 nucleotides) under uncultured bacterium. RNAcentral's name for it is "partial 16S ribosomal RNA". It matches the Rfam family "Bacterial small subunit ribosomal RNA", at positions 28 to 507 of the family's 1533-position model. The record is from RNAcentral.